This 970-nucleotide ribosomal RNA is filed under the name uncultured bacterium. Its description in RNAcentral is "bacterial SSU rRNA". It matches the Rfam family "Bacterial small subunit ribosomal RNA", at positions 64 to 1045 of the family's 1533-position model. The record is from RNAcentral.
GAACGAGGUGCUCUUGUAGCAUACGGGAGUAUCCUAGUGGCGAACGGGUGAGUAACGCGUUGGUGACCUGCCCCAAAGUGUGGGAUAACAGUCCGAAAGGAUUGCUAAUACCGCAUGUGGCCAUCGGGUUUAGAAACUGAUGUCUAAAGCAGCAAUGCGCUUUGGGAGGGACCUGCGUCCCAUCAGCUAGUUGGUAGGGUAACGGCCUACCAAGGCGACGACGGGUAGGGGGCCUGAGAGGGUGGCCCCCCACAAUGGAACUGAAACACGGUCCAUACACCUACGGGUGGCAGCAGUAGGGAAUAUUGCACAAUGGGCGAAAGCCUGACGCAGCAACGCCGCGUGCGCGAUGAAGGUCUUCGGAUCGUAAAGCGCUUUUCUGGGAGAUGAGAAAGGACAGUAUCCCAGGAAUAAGUCUCGGCUAACUACGUGCCAGCAGCCGCGGUAAAACGUAGGAGACAAGCGUUAUCCGGAUUCACUGGGCGUAAAGCGCGUGCAGGCGGCUCGGUAAGUUGGGCGUGAAAUCUCCCGGCUCAACUGGGAGGGGUCGUCCAAUACUACCGGACUCGAGAGCGAUGGAGGAAAAUGGAAUUCCCGGUGUAGUGGUGAAAUGCGUAGAUAUCGGGAGGAACACCAGUGGCGAAAGCGAUUUUCUGGAUCGUUUCUGACGCUCAGACGCGAAAGCUAGGGUAGCAAACGGGAUUAGAGACCCCGGUAGUCCUAGCUGUAAACGAUGUGAACUUGGCGUCGGUGGCUUAAACUCCAUCGGUGCCGCAGCUAACGCGAUAAGUUCACCGCCUGGGGACUACGGCCGCAAGGUUAAAACUCAAAGGAAUUGACGGGGGCCCGCACAAGCAGCGGAGCGUGUGGUUUAAUUCGAUGCUACACGAAGAACCUUACCCGGGUUUGACAUACAGGUGGUAGGGAUCCGAAAGGUGACCGACCCGCAAGGAGCCUGAACAGUGUUGCA